This 264-nucleotide ribosomal RNA is filed under the name uncultured bacterium. Its description in RNAcentral is "partial 16S ribosomal RNA". It matches the Rfam family "Bacterial small subunit ribosomal RNA", at positions 524 to 787 of the family's 1533-position model. The record is from RNAcentral.
UACGAAGGGGGCUAGCGUUGCUCGGAAUUACUGGGCGUAAAGCGCACGUAGGCGGCUUUCUAAGUCGGGGGUGAAAUCCUGGAGCUCAACUCCAGAACUGCCUUCGAUACUGGAGCUUGAGUCCGGGAGAGGUGAGUGGAACUGCGAGUGUAGAGGUGAAAUUCGUAGAUAUUCGCAAGAACACCAGUGGCGAAGGCGGCUCACUGGCCCGGUACUGACGCUGAGGUGCGAAAGCGUGGGGAGCAAACAGGGAUUAAGAAACCC